This 229-nucleotide ribosomal RNA is filed under the name uncultured bacterium. Its description in RNAcentral is "partial 16S ribosomal RNA". It matches the Rfam family "Bacterial small subunit ribosomal RNA", at positions 568 to 796 of the family's 1533-position model. The record is from RNAcentral.
UCCGUAGGUGGAUAAUUAAGUCAGAGGUGAAAUCCUGCAGCUCAACUGUAGAAUUGCCUUUGAUACUGGUUAUCUUGAGUCAUUAUGAAGUAGUUAGAAUAUGUAGUGUAGCGGUGAAAUGCAUAGAUAUUACAUAGAAUACCAAUUGCGAAGGCAGAUUACUAAUAAUCAACUGACACUGAUGGACGAAAGCGUGGGGAGCGAACAGGAUUAGAUACCCUGGUAGUCC